This is a long non-coding RNA of Emys orbicularis (European pond turtle), 339 nucleotides long. RefSeq lists it as uncharacterized. NCBI's taxonomy places the organism in Eukaryota, Metazoa, Chordata, Testudines, Emydidae. The record is from RefSeq and is a predicted model, not a curated record. The transcript is spliced from 3 exons.
AGAAACCAUGUGGUCCUACAGGAGAAUGCACAGCAUGUGAGCAGAUUUAUAGCUCUUGCCAACGUUGGCAAUACAAGCAAGAAAAAGUAUCUCUAUGCAUUUAGUAUUCUCCCAAUGCGCUCAAUGGACCCUGCAGAGCUAGUGAAACAGCCACAGGAUGUCACUGAAAACCCAUAUCAGAAAUCUGGGAAAGAGGCACAUCAGCCAAAGAUGCUCUCAGGUGCAGAGGAAGAACCAGCUUGUCAGUUUUUCUUUGAUUUGAGCAAACAGCAUGGAAAGAAGCGGCCAUCAGAUGGAAAGGGGGGACAGCAUUCCCAGCUCAAGCAGCCUAAGAAAAUC